This 30-nucleotide non-coding RNA is filed under the name Mus musculus (house mouse). Lineage: Eukaryota; Metazoa; Chordata; Mammalia; Rodentia; Muridae. The record is from RNAcentral.
UAUAAGGAUUCAGUUUAGCUAGGAAUUAGG